CCGCGACGCUGGUAACAGCGGCGGCAGGGCAAACCCCACACGGAGCAAGGUCAAAUAGAAAAGCGCUUCCCGCAAGGGAUGAAGGGCGGCCCGUCCGAUGCUUUUGGGUAGACUGCUGGACCCCGGGGGUGAUCCCGGGGCAAGAUGAAUGAUUGCCAUCCCCGGGUUCAUAGCCCGGGGAAACAGGAUUCGGCUUAUGGCCGGCUCCGGCGC
This 213-nucleotide RNase P RNA is filed under the name Acidobacteriota bacterium. RNAcentral's name for it is "Acidobacteria bacterium (anaerobic digester metagenome) partial RNase P RNA component class A". It matches the Rfam family "Bacterial RNase P class A", at positions 178 to 367 of the family's 367-position model. Rfam says of the family: Ribonuclease P (RNase P) is a ubiquitous endoribonuclease, found in archaea, bacteria and eukarya as well as chloroplasts and mitochondria. Its best characterised activity is the generation of mature 5'-ends of tRNAs by cleaving the 5'-leader elements of precursor-tRNAs. Lineage: Bacteria; Pseudomonadati; Acidobacteriota. The record is from RNAcentral.